AUUGAACGCUGGCGGCAUGCCUUACACAUGCAAGUCGAACGGUAACGCGGGGGCAACCCUGGCGACGAGUGGCGAACGGGUGAGUAAUACAUCGGAACGUGUCCUGUUGUGGGGGAUAACCCAUCGAAAGGUGAGCUAAUACCGCAUGAUCUGGAGACAGCAAAGCAGGGGACCGGUAACGGCCUUGCGCGAUUGGAGCGGCCGAUGUCCGAUUAGCUAGUUGGUGGGGUAAAGGCCCACCAAGGCAACGAUCGGUAGCUGGUCUGAGAGGAUGAUCAGCCACACUGGGACUGAGACACGGCCCAGACUCCUACGGGAGGCAGCAGUGGGGAAUUUUGGACAAUGGGGGCAACCCUGAUCCAGCCAUGCCGCGUGAGUGAAGAAGGCCUGG
RNAcentral lists this ribosomal RNA (391 nucleotides) under uncultured bacterium. Its description in RNAcentral is "bacterial SSU rRNA". It matches the Rfam family "Bacterial small subunit ribosomal RNA", at positions 29 to 419 of the family's 1533-position model. The record is from RNAcentral.